Molecule: unclassified non-coding RNA, 352 nt
Filed under: soil metagenome
Description: partial contains 5.8S ribosomal RNA, internal transcribed spacer 2, and large subunit ribosomal RNA
Rfam family: 5.8S ribosomal RNA (bases 1-120)
Source: RNAcentral
GAUGAAGAACGUAGCGAAAUGCGAUAAGUAAUGUGAAUUGCAGAAUUCAGUGAAUCAUCGAAUCUUUGAACGCACAUUGCGCCCGCCAGUAUUCUGGCGGGCAUGCCUGUUCGAGCGUCAUUACAACCCUCAGGCCCCCGGGCCUGUCGUUGGGGAUCGGCGGAAGCCCCCUGUGGGCACACGCCGUCCCUCAAAUACAGUGGCGGUCCCGCCGCAGCUUCCAUUGCGUAGUAGCUAACACCUCGCAACUGGAGAGCGGCGCGGCCAUGCCGUAAAACACCCAACUUCUGAAUGUUGACCUCGAAUCAGGUAGGAAUACCCGCUGAACUUAAGCAUAUCAAUAAGCGGAGGA